This 28-nucleotide non-coding RNA is filed under the name Cricetulus griseus (Chinese hamster). The record is from RNAcentral. Lineage: Eukaryota; Metazoa; Chordata; Mammalia; Rodentia; Cricetidae.
UGUUACCCCAUUAAGAAAAGAAUAGCGU